Mytilus californianus (California mussel) is the source of this 7742-nucleotide long non-coding RNA. RefSeq lists it as uncharacterized. Lineage: Eukaryota; Metazoa; Mollusca; Bivalvia; Mytilida; Mytilidae. The transcript is spliced from 2 exons. The record is from RefSeq and is a predicted model, not a curated record.
AAAUGCAAAAAUCAGUUCACCUUAUGUAAAAGAAAUAUGCCUCAAUAUGAAACAAUUCUCAAUCUUUGGACAAUAGAAUAAAGACUUAAAAGUAAGUUUAUGGAAAUGAAAAUUACCAUAUGCCACUCUGUAACUAUUAAUCUUAAGUGUUAUAUAAUUGUUUUCAAAAUCAAUAAGCAAUCCUUAGAGGAGAACAAUAGUAUACCUUUGUUUGAAUUUGCAAAUGCACCCAAAACAACAUUUAUUGGUUAUUUUGGGUGACAAGUUUCAAUUCUCUUCAUCUAUAAGCCCUACAAGCUAAGGAUAAUUGAUUUAUAAGAAGAAUCUAAUUUUUAAAUUUUUUUCUGUUUAGAAAAAUUUACACUUUACACUUGAAACUGUAUACAUUAUUUGAUUAAAGUAUGAAGUUACAAUUUAAAAAAAGUUGUUAUACAUAUUAGGGGACCCAUUGUUAGCUAAUUUUAUCUACUGAAAAAGUGCUUAUCUUUCUAAAAAAAAUUCGCAGUAAAUGCAACUGUCUACUUAUAAUAGUGCACUAUCAAAUUUUUUAUGACGUUGGCAUUGAUGUCGUUGUCGUCAUCGUCGUCGUCCGAAGAUACAUUGGUUUUCGCACAAGAAAUUUAGUUUAAGUAAAUGGAUCUCUAUGAAAUUUUACCAUAAGCUUCAAUACCACAAAAGGAAGGUUGGGAUCGAUUUUGGGGGUUAGGGUACCAACAGUUAAGGAAAAAGGGGCCAAAAAGGGGCCAAAAAUAAGCAUUUUUGUAACUUCCAGACAUAACUUGUGUGUUAGUGUAUGGAUCUCUCUGACAUUGUACCACAAGGUUCCAUAUCACUAAAGGAAUGCUGGGAUUGAUUUUGGGGGUAAUUGCCUCCAAAUUUUAGGAAUUAGGGGCCAAAAAAGGGGCAAAAAACAAGCAUUUUUCUAGUUUCAUGACAAUAACUUGUGUGUAAGUGUAUGGAUCUUUCUGAAAUUGUACUACAAGGUUCCAUAUCACAAAGGGAAAGCUGGGUUUGAGUUUGGGGGUAAUUGCCCUAAACGUUUAGGAAUUUGGGGCCAAAAAGGGGCCAAAAAACACAUUUUUUUCUAGUUUCCAGACAAUAACUUGUGUUCAAGUGUAUGGAUCUCUCUGAAAUUGUACUGCAAGGUACCAUACCACAAAGGGAAGGCUGGGAUUGAGUUUUGGGGUGAUGAAUCAUAAUGGGGGUUCAAAAAAUUUUGGGGGGGGAUUUAUUUUUUUUUCCUUUUUUUUCUUUUUUUCCUUUUUUGUUUCUUUUAAAAUUUUCCAUUUUAAGUUGGUUAUUUCUGAUUUAUAUUUAAAAUCAAAUAAUAAUGAUAUGGUAGGAGAUACACACCAAACAGGAUGUGUAAAUUAUUAUAUAAUAAGUAUUGUGCAAUAGCAAGAAAUUUUCAAUUGCACAGUAUUGCACAAUAGCAAGAAAUCUUCAAUUGCACAGUAUUGCGCAAUAGCAAGAAAUCUUCAAUUGCACAUGUACAGUAUUGCGCAAUAGCAAGAAAUAUCCAAUAGCACAAUAUUGCGCAAUAGCAAGAAAUUGUCAAUUGUACAGUAUUGCGCAAUAGCAAGAAAUAUUUAAUAGCACAGGAUUGUGCAAAAGAAGAUACUUCCUAUAAAUUGCUUAUUUCUUGACCAAUUUCAAUGGGGUUUUAUUCUUGAUUUCAUGGGGUUCUUUAAUAUGCUGAAUCUAACCGUGUAUUUAGUUUUUGGAUUUUGGGCCCCGUUUUUAAAUUGGUCCACAUUGAGGUCCAAAGGGUCCAAAAUUAAACUUUGUUUGAUUUCAUCAAAAAUUGAAUUAUUGGGGUUCUUUGAUAUGCCGAAUCUAACUGUGUAUUUAGAUUCUUAAAUUUUGGUUCCGUUUUCAAAUUGGUCUACAUUAAGGUCCAAAGGGUCCAAAAUUAAACUGAGUUUGAUUUUAACAAAAAUUGAAUUCUUAGGGUUCUUUGAUAUGCUGAAUCUAAACAUGUAUUUAGAUUUUUGAUUAUGGGCCCAGUUUUCAAGUUGGUCCAAAUCGGGGUCCAAAAUUAAACUUUGUUUGAUUUCAACAAAAAUUGAAUAUAUGGGGUUCUUUGAUAUGCUGAAUCUAACCAUGUAUUUAGAUUUUUGAUUUUUGGGCCCCGUUAUCAACUUUGUCCACAUUGAGGUCAAAAGGGUCCAAAAUUAAACUUUGUUUGAUUUCAUCAAAAAUUGAAUUAUUGGGUUCUUUGAUAUGCCGAAUCUAACUGUGUAUUUAGAUUCUUAAAUUUUGGUUCUGUUUUCAAAUUGGUCUACAUUAAGGUCCAAAGGGUCCAAAAUUAAACUUAGUUUGAUUUUAACAAAAAUUGAAUUCUUAGGGUUCUUUGAUAUGCUGAAUCUAAACAUGUAUUUAGAUUUUUGAUUAUGGGCCUAGUUUUCAAGUUGGUCCAAAUCGGGGUCCAAAAUUAAACUUUGUUUGAUUUCAACAAAAAUUGAAUAUAUGGGGUUCUUUGAUAUGCUGAAUCUAACCAUGUAUUUAGAUUUUUGAUUUUUGGGCCCCGUUAUCAACUUUGUCCACAUUGAGGUCAAAAGGGUCCAAAAUUAAACUUUGUUUGAUUUCAUCAAAAAUUGAAUUAUUGGGGUUCUUUGAUAUGCCGAAUCUAACUGUGUAUUUAGAUUCUUAAUUUUUGGUUCCGUUUUCAAAUUGGUCUACAUUAAGGUCCAAAGGGUCCAAAAUUAAACUUAGUUUGAUUUUAACAAAAAUUGAAUUCUUAGGGUUCUUUGAUAUGCUGAAUCUAAACAUGUAUUUAGAUUUUUGAUUAUGGGCCCAGUUUUCAAGUUGGUCCAAAUCGGGGUCCAAAAUUAAACUUUGUUUGAUUUCAACAAAAAUUGAAUAUAUGGGGUUCUUUGAUAUGCUGAAUCUAACCAUGUAUUUAGAUUUUUGAUUUUUGGGCCCCGUUAUCAACUUUGUCCACAUUGAGGUCAAAAGGGUCCAAAAUUAAACUUUGUUUGAUUUCAUCAAAAAUUGAAUUAUUGGGUUCUUUGAUAUGCCGAAUCUAACUGUGUAUUUAGAUUCUUAAAUUUUGGUUCUGUUUUCAAAUUGGUCUACAUUAAGGUCCAAAGGGUCCAAAAUUAAACUUAGUUUGAUUUUAACAAAAAUUGAAUUCUUAGGGUUCUUUGAUAUGCUGAAUCUAAACAUGUAUUUAGAUUUUUGAUUAUGGGCCUAGUUUUCAAGUUGGUCCAAAUCGGGGUCCAAAAUUAAACUUUGUUUGAUUUCAACAAAAAUUGAAUAUAUGGGGUUCUUUGAUAUGCUGAAUCUAACCAUGUAUUUAGAUUUUUGAUUUUUGGGCCCCGUUAUCAACUUUGUCCACAUUGAGGUCAAAAGGGUCCAAAAUUAAACUUUGUUUGAUUUCAUCAAAAAUUGAAUUAUUGGGGUUCUUUGAUAUGCCGAAUCUAACUGUGUAUUUAGAUUCUUAAUUUUUGGUUCCGUUUUCAAAUUGGUCUACAUUAAGGUCCAAAGGGUCCAAAAUUAAACUUAGUUUGAUUUUAACAAAAAUUGAAUUCUUAGGGUUCUUUGAUAUGCUGAAUCUAAACAUGUAUUUAGAUUUUUGAUUAUGGGCCCAGUUUUCAAGUUGGUCCAAAUCGGGGUCCAAAAUUAAACUUUGUUUGAUUUCAACAAAAAUUGAAUAUAUGGGGUUCUUUGAAAUGCUGAAUCUAACCAUGUAUUUAGAUUUUUGAUUUUUGGGCCCCGUUAUCAACUUUUUCCACAUUGAGGUCAAAAGGGUCCAAAAUUAAACUUUGUUUGAUUUCAUCAAAAAUUGAAUUCUUGGGGUUCUUUGAUAUGCUGAAUCUAACCAUGUAUUUAGAUUUUGGAUAUUGGACCAUAAUAGGUGAAUGUCCAAUUUAAAAUUUUUAAGUUCUUAGACCACAUUCAAUCUGUGUUAGAAACCUAUGCUGUGUCAAAUAUUUAAUCACAAUCCAAAUCCAAAGCUGUAUCAAGCUUGAAUGUUGUGUCCAUACUUCCCAAAACUGUUCAGGGUUCGACCUCUGCGGUCGUAUCAAGCUGCACCCUGCGGAGCAUUUUAUUUGUUAUUAUUUUGAAUAUUAUUAUAGAUAUAUAUAAACUGUAAGCAGCAAUAAUGUUCAGCAAAGUAAGAUCUACAAAAAAGUUAAUAUGACCAUAAUUGUCAAUUGACCCCUUAAGGAGUUAUUGCUGUUUAAAGACAAUUUUACACAAUUUGUUCAUCAAGUUUGCUAAUAUUUAAAAAUCUUCUCUGAAAUACAGGUGAGCGAUUCAGGCUCUUGAGAGCCUCUUGUUCUAGUUUCCAGACAAUAACUUGUGUUCAAGUGUAUGGAUCUCUCUGAAAUUGUACCAUACCACAAAGGGAAGGCUGGGAUGGAUUUUGGGGGUAAUUGCCUCAAAAUUUUAGGAAUUGGGGGCCAAAAAGGGGCAAAUAACAAGCAUUUUUGGCUCACCUGGCCUGAAGGGCCAAGUGGGCUUUUCUCAUCACUUGCCGUCCGUCAUCCGUCGUUUUUUGUCGUUGUAGUCCGUCGACGUUAGUUUUUACAAAAAUCUUCUCCUCUGAAAUCACUCGGCCAAAUUUAACCAAACUUGGCCACAAUCAUCAUUAGGGUAUCUAGUUUAAAAAAUGUGUCCGAUGACCCCGCUAACCAACCAAGAUGGCCGCCAUGGCUAAGAACAUAGGGGUAAAAUGUAGAUUUUGGCUUAUAUCUCUGAAACCAAAGCAUUUAGAGUAAAUCUGACAUAGGGUAAAACUGAUUAUCAGGUCAAGAUCUAUCUGCCCUGAAAUUUUCAGACAAAUCUGACAACCUGUUGUUGGGUUGCUGCCCCUAAAAUUGGUAAUUUUAAGGAAAUUUUGCAGUUUUUAUACGACUGCAAAAAAAUUUUUGUGGUCGUAUAUUGGUAUGACGUUGGCGUCGUCGUCGUCGUCUGGCGUCGUCCGAAGACACAUUGGUUUUCGCACUCUAACUUUAGUUUAAGUGAAUGGAUCUCUAUGAAAUUUUACCACAAGGUUCAAUACCACAAAAGGAAGGUUGGGAUUGAUUUUGGGGGUUAUGGUACCAACAGUAAAGGAAUUAGGGGCCAAAAAGGGGCCAAAAAUAAGCAUUUUUGUAACUUCCAGACAUAACUUGUGUGUUAGUGUAUGGAUCUCUCUGACAUUGUACCACAAGGUUCCAUAUCACAAAAGGAAUGCUGGGAUUGAUUUUGGGGGUAAUUGCCUCCAAAUUUUAGGAAUUAGGGGCCAAAAAAGGGACAAAAAACAAGCAUUUUUCUAGUUUCAUGACAAUAACUUGUGUGUAAGUGUAUGGAUCUUUCUGAAAUUUUACUACAAGGUUCCAUAUCACAAAGGGAAAGCUGGAAUUGAGUUUGGGGGUAAUUGUCGAAACGUUUAGGAAUUGGGGGCCUAAAAGGGGCCAAAAAUAAGCAUUUUUCUAGUUUCCAGACAAUAACUUGUGUUCAAGUGUAUGGAUCUCUCUGAAAUUGUACUGCAAGGUACCAUACCACAAAGGGAAGGCUGGGAUUGAUGAUGGGGGUAAUUGCCUCAAUAUUUUAGGAAUUAGGGGCCAAAAAGGGGCAAAAAACACAUUUUUCUAGUUUCAGGACAAUUACUUGUGUGUAAGUGUAUGGAUCUUUCUGAAAUUGUACUACAAGGUUCCAUAUCACAUAGGGAAAGCUGGGUUUGAGUUUUGGGGUAAUUGCCCUAGACGUUUAGGAAUUUGGGGCCAAAAAGGGAAAAAAAACACAUUUUUCUAGUUUUCAGACAAUAACUUGUGUUCAAGUGUAUGGAUCUCUCUGAAAUUGUACUGCAAAGUACCAUACCACAAAGAGAAGGCUGGGAUUGAGUUUGGGGGUGAUGAAUCAUAAGGGGGUUCAAAAAAUUUGGGGGGGGGGGAUUUUUUUUUUUUCCUUUUUUUUCUUUUUUUCCUUUUUUUUUUCUUUUAAAAUUUUCCAUUUUAAGUUGGUUAUUUCUGAUUUACAUUUAAAAGCAAAUAAUAAUGAUAUGGUAGGAGAUACACACCAAACAGGAUGUGUAAAUUAUUGUGCAAUAGCAAGAAAUUUUCAAUUGAACAGUAUUGCACAAUAGCAAGAAAUCUUCAAUUGCACAGUAUUGCGCAAUAGCAAGAAAUCUUCAAUUGCACAGUAUUGCGCAAUAGCAAGAAAUAUCCAAUAGCACAAUAUUGCGCAAUAGCAAGAAAUUGUCAAUUGUACAGUAUUGCGCAAUAGCAAGAAAUAUUUAAUUGCACAGUAUUGUGCAAAAGAAGAUACUUCGUAUAAAUUGCUUAUUUCUUGACAAAUUUCAAUGGGGUUUUAUUCUUGAAUUCUUGGGGUUCUUUAAUAUGCUGAAUCUAACCGUGUAUUAAGUUUUUGGAUUUUGGGCCCCGUUUUUAAAUUGGUCCACAUUGAGGUCCAAAGGGUCCAAAAUUAAACUUUGUUUGAUUUCAUCAAAAAUUGAAUUAUUGGGGUUCUUUGAUAUGCCGAAUCUAACCGUGUAUUUAGAUUCUUAAUUUUUGGUUCCGUUUUCAAAUUGGUCUACAUUAAGGUCCAAAGGGUCCUAAAUUAAACUUAGUUUGAUUUUAACAAAAAUUGAAUUCUUAGGGUUCUUUGAUAUGCUGAAUCUAAAUAUGUAUUUAGUUUUUUGAUUAUGGGCCCAGUUUUCAAGUUGGUCCAAAUUGGGGUCCAAAAUUAAACUUUGUUUGAUUUCAACAAAAAUUGAAUAUAUGGGGUUCUUUGAUAUGCUGAAUCUAACCAUGUAUUUAGAUUUUUGAUUUUUGGGCCCCGUUAUCAACUUUGUCCACAUUGAUGUCAAAAGGGUCCAAAAUUAAACUUUGUUUGAUUUCAUCAAAAAUUGAAUUCUUGGGGUUCUUUGAUAUGCUGAAUCUAACCAUUAUUUAGAUUUUGGAUAUUGGACCAUAAUAGGUGAAUGUCCAAUUUAAAAUUUUUAAGUUCUUAGACCACAUUCAUUCUGUGUCAGAAACCUAUGCUGUGUCAAAUAUUUAAUCACAAUCCAAAUGCAAAGCUGUAUCAAGCUUGAAUGUUGUGUCCAUACUUGCCCCAACUGUUCAGGGUUCGACAUCUGCGGUUGUAUCAAGCUGCGCCCUGCGGAGCAUUUUAUUUGUUAUUAUCUUGAAUAUUAUUAUAGAUAGAGAUAAACUGUAAACAGCAAUAAUGUUUAGCAAAGUAAGAUCUACAAAUAAGUUGUCAUGACCAAAAUUGUCAGUUGACCCCUUUAGGAGUUAUUGCCCUUAAUAGUCAAUUUUUAACAAUUUUUCGUAAAUUUUUGUAAUCUUGUACCAAAAUCUUAUUCUCUGAAACUACUGAGACAAAUUUAACCAUACUUGGCCAUAAUCAUUAUUAGGGUAUCUAGUUUAAAAAAUUUGUCCGAUGACCCCUCUUUCUAACCAUCAUGGCCGACUUGGUUAAAAAUAGACCAUAGGGGUAAAAUGCAGUUUUUGGUUUAUAUCUCUGAAACUAAAGCAUUUAGAGCAAAUCUGACAGGUGGCAAAAAUGUUCAUCAGAUUUAGAUUUAUCUGCCCUGAAAUUUUCAGACGAAUCCGACAACCUGUUGUUGGGUUGCUGCCCCUGAGUUAGUAAUUUUACAAAAAUUUUGCAGUUUUUUGUUAUUAUCUUAGAUAUCAUUAUAAUAUCUAAUAUCUAAUACUAUUAAUUAUGAUUUUAACUGUAUUUUACAUGAUUUCCAAAGCAUCAGUAAAUACAGGUGAGCGACACAGUCUCUUGAGAGCCUCUAGUUU